GAGGGAGUGCCGGAGUGGCCAAACAAAACACGGGGUUUUGAAAGUUAAAAACCUUCGGUUUUAGACCAAACGGGACAGACUCAAGAUCUGUUGGCUUAGUGCCUACUAGGGUUCGAAUCCCUACUCCCUCACCA
Molecule: transfer RNA, 134 nt
Filed under: Nanobdellota archaeon
Lineage: Archaea; Nanobdellati; Nanobdellota
Description: tRNA-Leu
Rfam family: tRNA
About the family: Transfer RNA (tRNA) molecules are approximately 80 nucleotides in length. Their secondary structure includes four short double-helical elements and three loops (D, anti-codon, and T loops). Further hydrogen bonds mediate the characteristic L-shaped molecular structure. tRNAs have two regions of fundamental functional importance: the anti-codon, which is responsible for specific mRNA codon recognition, and the 3' end, to which the tRNAs corresponding amino acid is attached (by aminoacyl-tRNA synthetases). tRNAs cope with the degeneracy of the genetic code in two manners: having more than one tRNA (with a specific anti-codon) for a particular amino acid; and 'wobble' base-pairing, i.e. permitting non-standard base-pairing at the 3rd anti-codon position.
Source: RNAcentral